UUAUGGCCAUAUCACACUCAAACGCCCAUUCUCGUCCUAUCACCGAAGUUAAGCAACGUUGAACUUGGUCAGUAAUAGGUAAGUGACCGCUUGGGAAUACCAGAUG
Molecule: non-coding RNA, 106 nt
Organism: Acanthosepion pharaonis
Lineage: Eukaryota; Metazoa; Mollusca; Cephalopoda; Sepiida; Sepiidae
Source: the annotation of a GenBank genome assembly